Molecule: non-coding RNA, 74 nt
Organism: Parelaphostrongylus tenuis
Lineage: Eukaryota; Metazoa; Nematoda; Chromadorea; Rhabditida; Metastrongylidae
Source: the annotation of a GenBank genome assembly
GCUUCAGUGGUGUAGUGGUAGUAACACAUGUCCCCGGUAUGGAUGAAACACGGGUUCGAUUCCCGCCUGAGACC